RNAcentral lists this long non-coding RNA (252 nucleotides) under Elaeis guineensis (African oil palm). RNAcentral describes it as "long non-coding RNA (EGUI_LNC030067)". The record is from RNAcentral. Lineage: Eukaryota; Viridiplantae; Streptophyta; Magnoliopsida; Arecales; Arecaceae.
GGCUUAUGAUUACAUCCAUGCGAUUGCCUUGAAGGAAUCUUUGAUAACAAAGAAAAAUUAUAGCUCCUACUUCACAGGCUCUAUACUCCCACGGAUGACAUAUUUCUCUUGAAAGUCAUCACUUUCGAUUUUCUUAAGAUCAACUUUGAUGGUAGCGUUCAAAAUAAAGAUGAUCUUGGUGGGGCAAGCUUCGCCAAUAGAAGUGCUAGCAGUGCACUAAUUGUAACUGCUAACAUCAUACUAUUUGAUACU